UUUUGAGUGAGAGACACAGCUUUUGCAAACUCCAACUUCACUGCGUCACUGGGCCCAGGAUAAAAUAAAUCAGUGCUGCUUUUUUUAAAAACAUGUCUUGUCCCAUUUUUGAACACCAAGUUAGGGGGCUCUAGAGGGCUUGUUUGUGGGCCACAAGAUUUGGGUGCUCACCCGGGAUUACUGGGGGACCCCUCCAAUUAUUUUUCACUGAUCGAUUGGCUAAACAUCUUAGAACAAUGGCCUACCACAUGGCACCCUGGGACAAAAAAGCAGUGUGCCAUCCAGAUGAAACCUGUCCUCUGAUCCAGAAUGCCAGAACCAUGCUUUCCUUUUGUCUCACUCCAACUGGACAACCAGAGAUCUGACCACCAUCAGUUUCAAGGGGACAGUGGCUUCAAACCCUGCUACUCUGCUACCUGAUGAUGACCCCUCCUUGCCCCUCCAUGACUGCAUUGGGGACCAGACUUGACAGAUGAGCCACUAUUCAGAGUUCCUUUGUAUUUCUCCAAUGGAAGCAGUUACAUCUAUAAAGGCCACUACAAGGACAGAUGCCCUGCAGUACAGCCUGAGACACUAGUUCUCAUCAAGAGGCAUCACCAUGAAUCUCUUGAGCCACAAUAAAAAAAUCCCUACACUGUGGGUCCUCAGCACUCCAACUGCUGUCAAAGUCACUGAAAAGCCCGCCUGGAUUCAUCAUUCCCCCCUUCAAGCUAGUCCCGGCCUCUGACGGGGAUCAACCUACAGAUAAGUGGACUGUUGUUCACUCUAAGGACUCUUUAAAGCUUAAGAUUGCUAAAGAUAUCUGAUAAUGUUGUUCUUGUGUAUUCUCCCUCAUGGAGACCCCAAGGAAGCUUCUGUCUGGCUUUAGGAAAAAAAUUGUUCCUUGUAUGCCAAUCAUUCUGGAGUCAUCAGGCAAACCAGAGCUAAUUUAAAUGUUGGUUUUCUUUCUCCCUUUGGUUAACAGCUUUAAUAAUAGUGGCUGCGAGACCUUUGUUAAUCCUCCUAUUGGGCCUUGUAUUAUAAAUCAAUUGGUAAACUAUGUCAAAGUUUGAGUUCAAACUAUAAAGCUUAUGAUUUUAAAGACAUAAGGUUAUAAACAGAUACCUAUGUCUAGAAACCCUAUGAGCCAAUGAUUUGGAUCACUGACUAAAAUCAGUGCAGAGUGUUAUACACUAACAAAAAGAGCUUUGUUAUGUUUGUGUUUUGUUUGCCAAUGUCCAAGUUAUAUGACCAAAUUGCCUGUAGCGCUGUCAUACCGUUCUGUAUGUGCCAUCUUCCUGGGUGACCUAAUUGAUAUGUUAAUCAUUGUUCCCCUCUGCAAAGAACUGUAAAUUCCUGGGAAUCUGGCCUGACUAAUAUGUUAACCAUUGUUCCCCUCUGCAAAGGACAGAUGUUAUCUAAAAUUAAGUACUAAAAUUAGUUGACAAAGGAUUAUAAAUUCCUGUGAGACUUCUCUGUCUUCUGCAAAGGGAAACAAAGGUCUUCCUCAUUCCUUAGCAGAUCAAGGAUUUUCUUAUUUCCUGAUCCAUGCCCAUAACCCCUUACUUUGUAAAUCAUGCUUUCUGCAAAAAGUCUGGAAAGUUUUGAGUGAGAGACACAGCUUUUGCAAACUCCAACUUCACUGCAUCACUGGGCCCAGGAUAAAAUAAAUCAGUGCUGCUUUUUUAAAAAACAUGUCUUGCCCCAUUUUUGGACACCAAGUUGGGGGGCUCUGGGGGGCUUGUUUGUGGGCUGCAAGAAAAACCAAUCAAAACAAACCAGUGUAAGUGAUAUAGGACUUCAAAACAUUACAAAAUCAACAAUAGUUACCAUAAUACCUUUUGUCUUCAAAACAGCUGCAGAUACCUUCAGACAUAGUAAAACUGAACAGAACAGAAUAGAAUAAAAACAAAACAAUGAACACAAUAAAGAACUUCAAAACAAGCCAAUAGUAAAUUCAAAAUGGCAACCAUCAUAUAUCUUGCUAUCUUUGGAAUAGCUGCUCAUACCAUCAGAUUUAACAUAAUCCAACAAAACAAAAGAGAAUAAAACCCAACCCCAAAAAACAGUGAAAAAUAUAGGGCUUUGUUAUAACCUAAGCCCCUCUAACUAUGCGCCGAAGCCUGUUCUGUAUAAGCCCACCUGCUGCUUCCCCUCCCCUUCUCCCUUCACAUCUAACUAGGUUAAGUUUUAACUUCCCAAAAGGCCAUAAAACAAAGGCCUGAGGUAAUAGCUCCUGACAACACCCCCUUCCCUACCUGGUCACAAAUUGUGUUAAUUGCAUUAGAUUGUAUUAGAUUGAACUAUUCUUCACAAAAUAGCUUCGUUAUAUUUGUAUCAUAGCAAUACCUGUAACUUGGCCUUACUGUUUGUGUUUUCCUUUUUCCUUUGGAUGACCUAAUUGAUAUGUUAAUCAAUGCUCUCCUCUGUAAAGAAUUGUAAAAUCUUACCUAAUUGAUAUGUUAACCAUUGUUGCCCUCUACAAAUCGCAGUUGUGGUGCUAAAGUAAGGUAACUAAAGUUGUUAAUUGCUGUUAGACUUCUCUAUUCUUUGCUAAGAAAAACAAGACUUCAUCUUAUCUAAACUUGCUUGUAUGCAGGGAGACUUGCAAUUUCUGCUUUGUAGUGCGUCACACCCCCAUCCCCUUCCUUACAUUGUGUGACCAGCAGCUGUUUGUGGAUUUACAAGAUAAAAGACCUGACUUUUAGCUGUGAGGUGCGCAGUCUCCAAAUUGGCUCCUGGAGGCUGUGUCACCAGGCCUGGAAAUAAAGCCUUUGCUUCCCAAAUUUUAA
This is a long non-coding RNA of Cavia porcellus (domestic guinea pig), 2771 nucleotides long. RefSeq lists it as uncharacterized. The transcript has 4 exons. The record is from RefSeq and is a predicted model, not a curated record. NCBI's taxonomy places the organism in Eukaryota, Metazoa, Chordata, Mammalia, Rodentia, Caviidae.